Molecule: ribosomal RNA, 253 nt
Filed under: uncultured bacterium
Lineage: Bacteria
Description: partial 16S ribosomal RNA
Rfam family: Bacterial small subunit ribosomal RNA
Source: RNAcentral
CACGUAGGGUGCGAGCGUUGUCCGGAAUUAUUGGGCGUAAAGAGCUCGUAGGCGGUCUGUUGCGUCGGUAGUGAAAACUCAGGGCUUAACCCUGAGCCUGCUUCCGAUACGGGCAGACUAGAGGUAUGCAGGGGAGAACGGAAUUCCUGGUGUAGUGGUGAAAUGCGCAGAUAUCAGGAGGAACACCGGUGGCGAAGGCGGUUCUCUGGGCAUUACCUGACGCUGAGGAGCGAAAGUGUGGGGAGCGAACAGG